AUUAAACGCUGGCGGCAUGCCUUACACAUGCAAGUCGAACGGCAGCACGGGGGCAACCCUGGUGGCGAGUGGCGGACGGGUGAGUAAAGCAUCGGAACGUAUCCUGGAGUGGGGGAUAACGUAGCGAAAGUUACGCUAAUACCGCAUAUUCUGUGAGCAGGAAAGCAGGGGAUCGCAAGACCUUGCGCUCUGGGAGCGGCCGAUGUCGGAUUAGCUAGUUGGUGGGGUAAAGGCCUACCAAGGCGACGAUCCGUAGCGGGUCUGAGAGGAUGAUCCGCCACACUGGGACUGAGACACGGCCCAGACUCCUACGGGAGGCAGCAGUGGGGAAUUUUGGACAAUGGGCGGAAGCCUGAUCCAGCCAUGCCGCGUGAGUGAAGAAGGCCUCGGUU
RNAcentral lists this ribosomal RNA (392 nucleotides) under uncultured bacterium. RNAcentral describes it as "bacterial SSU rRNA". It matches the Rfam family "Bacterial small subunit ribosomal RNA", at positions 29 to 424 of the family's 1533-position model. The record is from RNAcentral.